Long non-coding RNA from Rosa chinensis, 220 nucleotides. RefSeq lists it as uncharacterized. The transcript has 2 exons. NCBI's taxonomy places the organism in Eukaryota, Viridiplantae, Streptophyta, Magnoliopsida, Rosales, Rosaceae. The record is from RefSeq and is a predicted model, not a curated record.
GCUGAAGGUGUUGAUUUCAUUGCUGUAUCUUUUGUCAAGUCUGCUGAAGUGAUCAAUCACCUUAAAAGCUAUAUUGCAGCACGGUCUCGCGAUAUUUCUGUUGUGGCAAAGAUAGAGAGUAUUGACUCUCUAAAGAACUUGGAAGAGAUCAUCCUUGCAUCAGAUGGAGCAAUGGUAGCAAGAGGUGACCUAGGUGCUCAGAUACCAUUGGAACAGGUCC